UCUUGGUCAUUUAGAGGAAGUAAAAGUCGUAACAAGGUUUCCGUAGGUGAACCUGCGGAAGGAUCAUUACCUUUGGCUGCCGUGAGCGCUUCGGCGUGAGCGACAGUCAUUCUAUAGUGACGCCUCCGUGUCCGGGAAACCGGCGCGGGGCUGACCUAACCCUUCUCUACGAGUACCUAUUAUUCUCCUUCGGCGGGGUCUACCCGCCGCUGGAACUUAAGAACCAACUUGCAUUUAGCAUUACCUGUUCUGAUAACAAUUAAUUAUUACAACUUUCAACAAUGGAUCUCUUGGCUCUGGCAUCGAUGAAGAACGCAGCGAAAUGCGAUAAGUAGUGUGAAUUGCAGAAUUCAGUGAAUCAUCGAAUCUUUGAACGCACAUUGCGCCCCAUGGUAUUCCGUGGGGCAUGCCUGUUCGAGCGUCAUCUACACCCUCAAGCACUGCUUGGUGUUGGGCGUCUGUCCCGCCUUUGCGCGUGGACUCGCCCCAAAGUCAUUGGCAGCGGUCUCUGGCACCUCAACGCGCAGUACAAUGCGUUCAUUGGGGUGCCGUGGGCGCGACCAUAAAGCUAUUUACAGUCUUUGACCUCGGAUCAGGUAGGGAUACCCGCUGAACUUAAGCAUAUCAAUAAGCGGAGGAAGUCU
This 644-nucleotide ribosomal RNA is filed under the name dothideomycete sp. 7667. RNAcentral describes it as "eukaryotic LSU rRNA". The stretch from base 271 to 424 matches the Rfam family "5.8S ribosomal RNA". The record is from RNAcentral. Lineage: Eukaryota; Fungi; Ascomycota; Dothideomycetes.